UUCCUUCCUUCCUUCCUUCCUUCCUUCCUUCCUUCCUUCCUUCCUCUCUCUCUCUUUCUUUCUUUCUUUCCUUCUUGACAGGGUCUCCCUGUAGCCAGGCUGGAGCUGGUCUCAAACUCCUAGACUCAAGCAAUCUGCCCACCUCGGCCUCCCAAGGUGCUGGGAUGAUAGGCAUGAGCCACCGCACCCAGCCUAUCUCCUAGAUCUUGAAUCAAAAAUAAAAUGUAAAUCACUUCCAUUCUGCUAGCAUGAGGGUUUGUUGCUAAAAUUGAGGAUUCUAUCUGACGUUUACUUUUUGUUGUUUUUUGAGACAAGGUCUUGCUUUGUCGCCCAUGCUGGAGUGCAGUGGCAUCAUUAUAACUCACUGUCAAACUCCUGGACUCCAAUGUUCCCUCCCCUUUUAGCCUCCCAAGUAGCUGGGUCUACAGGCAUGAACCAUCAGGCCCAGAUAAUUAAAAAAACUUUUUUUGGUGAAAACAUGAUCUUGCUAUGUUGCUCAGGCUGGUUGUCUGGCAUUUUCUUUGUCCUUUAUUCUUUAUACUAGCUAAACCCUGGAGUAUCCUUGAAGCCUUUACUGGCAUACAGAGUACCUGAAUCUUACUUUGGAGCCUAGCAUGGGUCAUAAAUAUAUCUGAUUCAUUAACCUGUGAGACAGCUGAGAGAACACAGACUCCUUACCUGUAUCUCCAGGCAUAUCUGGUUUUUCUCUGCCUAAUAGAUUUUCCUGCUUUCUAGUUAGUAAUAUUGAGAAAGAAGAAAGGC
RNAcentral lists this long non-coding RNA (762 nucleotides) under Homo sapiens (human). Its description in RNAcentral is "non-protein coding lnc-CA7-1:1". The record is from RNAcentral. Lineage: Eukaryota; Metazoa; Chordata; Mammalia; Primates; Hominidae.